RNAcentral lists this ribosomal RNA (465 nucleotides) under uncultured bacterium. Its description in RNAcentral is "partial 16S ribosomal RNA". It matches the Rfam family "Bacterial small subunit ribosomal RNA", at positions 28 to 507 of the family's 1533-position model. The record is from RNAcentral.
GACGAACGCUGGCGGCGUGCUUAACACAUGCAAGUCGUACGGUAAGGCCCUUUCGGGGGUACACGAGUGGCGAACGGGUGAGUAACACGUGAGUAACCUGCCCACAACUUUGGGAUAACGCUAGGAAACUGGUGCUAAUACUGGAUAUGUUCUCCUGCUGCAUGGUGGGGGUUGGAAAGCUCCGGCGGUUGUGGAUGGACUCGCGGCCUAUCAGCUUGUUGGUGGGGUAGUGGCCUACCAAGGCGGCGACGGGUAGCCGGCCUGAGAGGGUGACCGGCCACAUUGGGACUGAGAUACGGCCCAGACUCCUACGGGAGGCAGCAGUGGGGAAUAUUGCACAAUGGGCGCAAGCCUGAUGCAGCAACGCCGCGUGCGGGAGGACGGCCUUCGGGUUGUAAACCGCUUUCAGCAGGGACGAAGCUUUUUGUGACGGUACCUGCAGAAGAAGCACCGGCUAACUACGUG